Molecule: non-coding RNA, 71 nt
Organism: Potamilus streckersoni
Lineage: Eukaryota; Metazoa; Mollusca; Bivalvia; Unionida; Unionidae
Source: the annotation of a GenBank genome assembly
ACUCUAGUGGCCUAGUGAUUAGAGCAUCCACCUCAGAUGGGGAGGUCGCGGGUUUGAACCCCGGUCGAGUC